RNAcentral lists this ribosomal RNA (253 nucleotides) under uncultured Legionella sp. RNAcentral describes it as "partial 16S ribosomal RNA". It matches the Rfam family "Bacterial small subunit ribosomal RNA", at positions 524 to 776 of the family's 1533-position model. Lineage: Bacteria; Pseudomonadati; Pseudomonadota; Gammaproteobacteria; Legionellales; Legionellaceae. The record is from RNAcentral.
UACGGAGGGUGCGAGCGUUAAUCGGAAUUACUGGGCGUAAAGGGUGCGUAGGUGGAGCAUUAAGUUAUCUGUAAAAUCCCUGGGCUCAACCUGGGCAUGUCAGAUAAGACUGGUGUUCUCGAGUAUAGGAGAGGGUAGUGGAAUUUCCGGUGUAGCGGUGAAAUGCGUAGAGAUCGGAAGGAACACCGGUGGCGAAGGCGGCUACCUGGCCUGAUACUGACACUGAGGCACGAAAGCGUGGGGAGCAAACAGG